AUUGAACGCUGGCGGCAUGCCUUACACAUGCAAGUCGAACGGCAGCACGGGUGCUUGCACCUGGUGGCGAGUGGCGAACGGGUGAGUAAUACAUCGGAACAUGUCCUGUAGUGGGGGAUAGCCAGGCGAAAGCCGGAUUAAUACCGCAUACGAUCUACGGAUGAAAGCGGGGGACCUUCGGGCCUCGCGCUAUAGGGUUGGCCGAUGGCUGAUUAGCUAGUUGGUGGGGUAAAGGCCUACCAAGGCGACGAUCAGUAGCUGGUCUGAGAGGACGACCAGCCACACUGGGACUGAGACACGGCCCUGACUCCUACGGGAGGCAGCAGUGGGGAAUUUUGGACAAUGGGCGAAAGCCUGAUCCAGCAAUGCCGCGUGUGUGAAGAAGGCCUUCGGGUUGUAAAGCACUUUUGUCCGGAAAGAAAUCCUUGGCUCUAAUACAGUCGGGGGAUGACGGUACCGGAAGAAUAAGCACCGGCUAACUACGUGCCAGCAGCCGCGGUAAUACGUAGGGUGCGAGCGUUAAUCGGAAUUACUGGGCGUAAAGCGUGCGCAGGCGGUUUGCUAAGACCGAUGUGAAAUCCCCGGGCUCAACCUGGGAACUGCAUUGGUGACUGGCAGGCUAGAGUAUGGCAGAGGGGGGUAGAAUUCCACGUGUAGCAGUGAAAUGCGUAGAGAUGUGGAGGAAUACCGAUGGCGAAGGCAGCCCCCUGGGCCAAUACUGACGCUCAUGCACGAAAGCGUGGGGAGCAAACAGG
RNAcentral lists this ribosomal RNA (755 nucleotides) under uncultured Burkholderia sp. RNAcentral describes it as "bacterial SSU rRNA". It matches the Rfam family "Bacterial small subunit ribosomal RNA", at positions 28 to 776 of the family's 1533-position model. The record is from RNAcentral. Lineage: Bacteria; Pseudomonadati; Pseudomonadota; Betaproteobacteria; Burkholderiales; Burkholderiaceae.